This 153-nucleotide ribosomal RNA is filed under the name uncultured bacterium. Its description in RNAcentral is "partial 16S ribosomal RNA". It matches the Rfam family "Bacterial small subunit ribosomal RNA", at positions 355 to 509 of the family's 1533-position model. The record is from RNAcentral.
UGGGGAAUAUUGCACAAUGGGCGCAAGCCUGAUGCAGCGACGCCGCGUGCGGGAUGGAGGCCUUCGGGUUGUAAACCGCUUUUGUUCAAGGGCAAGGCAGGCUUUCGGCCUGUUGAGUGGAUUGUUCGAAUAAGCACCGGCUAACUACGUGCC